This 3602-nucleotide long non-coding RNA is filed under the name Mus musculus (house mouse). Its description in RNAcentral is "long non-coding RNA chr8:92408417-92412019". The record is from RNAcentral. Lineage: Eukaryota; Metazoa; Chordata; Mammalia; Rodentia; Muridae.
GUGGCUAUUUAUGUGAACCGAGGACAGGCGAAAACAUUCAUUUGUCGGCGGUUUAAGUGCUGGGUGGGAAUGGGGCUCCAAGUAUAGAAAGGACGCAGGUAGCAUCUGUCCUGGGGGCUGUGCAAGGUAGGGAGGGGCCUGGGUGUGUAAUUAUCCCUGCUGCUCCUGAAGAGAGGGAAGGCUGCUAUGGAAAGUGACACCUAAUGACUGUUUUCAGCACAGAGGGUAAAGGGAAAGGCUGGUGUUUAAGGCCAUAGCCUGAGAUGGAGCCUUGCACCUGCCAGGUGAAUAGGGUUACUUCUGGGCCUUGGCAGGGUCCGCCUUGUUCCUGUCCCAGCAGAUCUGGGGCAAAGGAAGUGUGACCAAAGUUCCCAGGGGUCUGCAGAUACAGUGAGGGCCAGAGGCUGGAAGGCCUGGGUGCUGUCUCUUCUCCCUGUCCUCCAGCCCCAGAGGAGCCACGGUUAGCCAGGAAUGUUAACAAAGAGGAGACAGCACUGGCUAAACAGAGGCUCCAAGACAAUUCCUGGCCCAAACAAAGCUCCCAGGCCCCCACCCUCAUAAGAAAACAAGCCAGGCCUUUGUACACACUCAAUAAUUACUGCGCGCAAUUACCCUAGUCGGAGCUGUGCUGGGGUAGCAGGCAGGUUGAGGGGUGUAGUUGGAAACCCUAACCUCCCUCAGUGGGAUUGAGGGGCACAGUACCUGCCCAGGACCUGGAGCCCAUUCUCUGGAAUGCCACUUGCCUGGGAGCCACUAGCCAGAGGGACCCCAAAGAUCUUAGGUGGCCGGCUCAUGAUGUCCCAGUAGUAAUGUGUUGUCUGGGACAUCUCAGACAAAAUCCCUGAAGCUCUCUGCACCAGUGGCCUUUUGCUCCCAUGUACAGGAUUGCUGGGUGCUGAGGUAUUGUUCUCCUAUGUGCUUGAUCAUCUCUGAAGCCUGCUACGUCCUCCCCGCUGCUUCUGAACCCUUAAUGCCCUGCUUCCCAUUUUCCUGCUCCUGUGGGUCUUCCAAACAACACCAGAGUUGUAUCUAAACUCCUGAUACUCCCAGUAUUCUUGCUUCAAACCCCCUUUAUCUCACUCUCCUAGGUACCUGACUCACAUCCCAUUGUGUGCCCUCUUCUCCUCCAGGAAGCCUUCAGUCUUGCUCCACCAGGGGCUUGUUGGUCCUUGGCACUGGACCUGUUUUAUGGAUGAGAACAUGUAUGUGUGCACAUCAUAUACACACCAAUGUGAUUCUAACACUCAGUUCUGAAUUUGAUAGUGACAGUGAUCGUUGUGGUAUUAGCUACGCCUCCAUUUACUGGAUGCUUGAAAUUCACUAUGCAGAUUGCUAAGCCGCUUCCCGCACAUUUAAUCACGCCAUCAUCUUAGGAGGUAGAUGCCGUUUCCUAUUCCUGUUUUAUAUUGGAGAACUUGCUGCACAGAGAAGUUGAGUAACUGGUUCAAAGUCACCGUGCAUCAUGGCAGCGAUGUAGUAAUGUAGUGGGUGUUACUUGGAAGUCCGGUGUAACAGCCUGUGGGGGCUGCACAGUAAAUUCUGUGUUUCCCCAAGUCCAGAGUCUGCCUUUGAAGUGUCUUGAAAAUCCAGCUUUAUGUGGCAAUCUUCACACCAUAGAAAUCAGCAAGCAUUAUAAAUAAAACAUUCCCUCCCCUAUCCCAGAAAGCUGGCUUUUAACCACUGACGGGCACAAGGCAAAUGCCCUCAACCUGCCUUGUCCCAUAGCGCAUGACCCUCCGUUGUGGGUUUUGUAUUUCUCCAGUGGUCCUCCACAGCCACAGUGCCUGGAGCAGAGGAGGUGAGGCUGCACUCUGUCCACUCAUGACAGUGAGGAUUUGCUGUACUGUACUCCAUUUGAUGGUUCUGUGACAGAGUCCUGGCAUCUGCCCAUACUGCCCCUGACUGGAAAUUCUCUUGCUCCAGCUCCCUAAGUGCUGGGAUUAUAUGUGUGUGGCACCAAGCUGGGAUGAACGCAGGAGUUUAUGUCUUCACUAUUAGGGACAGGGUGGGAUCUUGGCUGAGGCCAUUUACUUAGGUUGGGAUGGAACAUAAAACCAGCAUGGCCCAGAUCCCUGCUAUGCAGGAGACUGGAGCUCUCUUUAGCCUUGUGGAUUAGGGUCCCUUAGGCCAGACUCUACCAAAGGCCUCUCACCACUGCCCAGUGGCCAGACAGAACUUAGAACUACAAACAGACCAAUUAGAAGCUGACUUCUUGGUUUCAAAGAUGCCGAGAAAAACCAUGGAUAAUAAUGUUAGCAGGAGUCAAAGUUAGACCUUUGCUGAGGGCGCAGCAUGGCCGGCCCUAGAAUGGCUAGCUUGGGAAGCUAUUUUGAUCUUCUUUGACUGGUGGCUUAGAGCAAUUUUCUGGGCACCCAUGGGCCAGAGGGGCCAGGAGACUCUUGCCACCAGCAGCUGCCUUUUUACACCAGGAUAAUGAUGGCUUCUGGGUGAGAGAGAUCAAUAGGGGCUAAAAAUACGUUUCCGUCCCAUCUGGAUGUGGCUCUGGGCAUCUCGCUGACUCAGAGGCCUCUGUGAGUGGUGGAAGUGUAAACCAUCUCACAGUACAGAUCCUGCAGACCACCUCCUGUCUCCUCAGGGUUGCGAGCCCUAAGAUUGCACUGGGGAAACCAACAAGGUGCUUACAGGUAUCUUGGACCAGGUCCCUCAGCUGUUGGCAGAGUAGAAAUGAGGACCCGUGAGAAAAGAGAGGCAAAUUGGGUUCCCCUAAUCGCUCCAUGCUAGCCCAGAGCUGGACAGUGUGAAUAUGGGGGGCAGGCAGACAUAGGUUUAUCGACCGUCUGAAAGCUCACUGUCAAGGUGCAGACAGAUAGUUCUUUACCCAGGCCAGCAAAGCAAACAGCCCCAAGCAGGAUCUUUUCUACCUCCUCACCCAGGCACAGGUGCCCCGAGAGGCUGCAUCUCACUCAGUACCUGAGGUGUCUCCAUGAGAUCACUGCUGGAUGGUUCCCACUCUACAUAUCCCCAUUCUACAUACGAGCUGAGUGAAGCUCAAAGGCCACACUUCCAUGAUACAAAACCACAGUGAUGGAGCUGCUUUGGCCACUCAGCUUUCACGCACACGAAUGACCAGAGUUUGACAAACUUUCCUGAAGGGUCAGAGGGUAAAUACUGAGGUCUAUAGGCGAUUGGUCUUACUGCAAACACGCUACGCUGCCCCUAUAGAUUGACGGCAGCCAUGGUCCAUAUAAACGAGCAGGCAAGGUUGUACUCUAGUGAAACUUUAUUGACAAAGGAGGCAGAGGGAUGGAUUUGGCUGACGGCAGCUGACCCUUAAGAUUUCGUAUUGUGAAGUAGCCAAGGAGCUAAAGGGAUCUGCAACCCUAUAGGUGGAACAACAUUAUGAACUAACCAGUACCCCGGAGCUCUUGACUCUAGCUGCAUAUAUAUCAAAAGAUGGCCUAGUCGGCCAUCACUGGAAAGAGAGGCCCAUUGGACUUGCAAACUUUAUAUGCCCCAGUACAGGGGAACACCAGGGCCAAAAAGUGGGAGUGGGUGGGCAGGGGAGUGGGGGUGGGUGGAUAUGGGGGACUUUUGGUAUAGCAUUGGAAAUGUAAAUGAGCUAAAUACCUAAUAAAAAAUGG